Haliotis rufescens (red abalone) is the source of this 409-nucleotide long non-coding RNA. RefSeq lists it as uncharacterized. The transcript is spliced from 3 exons. The record is from RefSeq and is a predicted model, not a curated record. NCBI's taxonomy places the organism in Eukaryota, Metazoa, Mollusca, Gastropoda, Lepetellida, Haliotidae.
UCUUAGUCUUUGUUGUCUCACCAGCGAUCAACACCCCAACAUGAACAUCAGCUUCAGCAUAGUCAUCGCCUUCUUGGCCAUGUUCGUGACCUACUCCAACGCGUGCUGCUGUCACAAGGGCAGUCACAAGAGCCACCACAGCAGGCACGGCAUCCCCGUCCCCAUCCCUUACCCCAUGGGCGGCAGCAGCGGCGGCAGCCACUCCUCCAACAUCCCUCUCGUCAUCACAACGGCUGGAAAAUAGACACGCGGAAACUAUGCUGCUGUCACGUGAUGUCCUGGUCAGUCAUUGUAACGAACAAAACUUGUCACGCAACGCGGAAUGUUCUUACAAACACAUACCUCCACUUUCUAUUGCUUAUGUCAUUAAAUCUUCCUGAAAAUAAAUACAUUCGAGGAUUUUGUCAAA